This 988-nucleotide ribosomal RNA is filed under the name Calandrella athensis (Athi short-toed lark). RNAcentral describes it as "partial 16S ribosomal RNA". It matches the Rfam family "Bacterial large subunit ribosomal RNA", at positions 1540 to 2855 of the family's 2925-position model. Lineage: Eukaryota; Metazoa; Chordata; Aves; Passeriformes; Alaudidae. The record is from RNAcentral.
AUAUGACUCCCUCAUCACUAACAGGCUAACCUAUUACAAUAGGAGAAUUAAUGCUAGAAUGAGUAACCAGGGUAACUCCCUCUACGACGCAAGCUUACAUCUGUACAUUAUUAACAAGCACCCAAUAUACGAAAAAUCCAACAAGCAGAGUAUUAACCACCUUGUUAACCCGACAGAGGAGCGUCCGUUAAGAAAGAUUAAAACCUGUAAAAGGAACUAGGCAAACACGUCAAGGCCCGACUGUUUACCAAAAACAUAGCCUUCAGCAAACCAAAGGACAAGUAUUGAAGGUGAUGCCUGCCCGGUGACAUAGUUCAACGGCCGCGGUAUCCUAACCGUGCAAAGGUAGCGCAAUCAAUUGUCCCAUAAAUCGGGACACGUAUGAAUGGCUAAACGAGGUCUUAACUGUCUCUUACAGGCAAUCGGUGAAAUUGAUCUCCCUGUGCGAAAGCAGGGAUAACCACAUAAGACGAGAAGACCCUGUGGAACUUCAAAAACAGCAACCACCCCAAUAUACAUCCACACCCAAAGCACUGGUUAGCAUUUUUUCGGUUGGGGCGACCUUGGAGCAAAACAAAACCUCCAAAAAUUGGACCUUCCCUCCAGACUAAGAGCAACCACUCAACGUGCCAACAGCACCCAGACCCAAUACAAUUGAUCAAUGGACCAAGCUACCCCAGGGAUAACAGCGCGAUCUCCCCCGAGAGUCCAUAUCGACGGGGAGGUUUACGACCUCGAUGUUGGAUCAGGACAUCCUAGUGGUGCAGGAGCUACUAAGGGUUCGUUUGUUCAACGAUUAACAGUCCUACGUGAUCUGAGUUCAGACCGGAGCAAUCCAGGUCGGUUUCUAUCUAUGACGAACUCUUCCUCGUACGAAAGGAUCGGAAAAGUGAGGCCUAUACCACAAGCAAGCCUUCGCCUUAAGUAAUGAAGCCAACUCAAUUACAAAAGGCUAUCACACCCCAUCACGUCCUAGAAAAGGACGUUA